CCACCGGAGCCGCCAUUCCUUCGACCUCCAAAUGAACUCCUGGAGCACAUCUUCCUCCGCCUCCCCACGGCGGCCGACCUCGCCCGCGUCUCCACCGCCUCUGCCUCCUUCCGCCGCAUCAUUGCCGACCACACCUUCCUCCGCCGAUACCGAGCCCUCCACUCGGGGCCUCUCAUCGGCAUGUUUGCCGGCCACUUCAUACCAGCCCAGCCGCCGCACCCGUCCCCUGCCGCCGCUCGCGCCUUCGCAGCCUUCGACUUAUCCUGCUCCUCCUUCCACCCCUCCACCGCCGGCCGUACGUGCAGUCCACGUGACUUCUUCGACGGACGUGCCCUCCUCGCUGGCGCCCCGGCCGACAAAAGCGGCAUCCUUGUCGGUGCCGAGGUGUGCGACUUCCACUACCGUGAAUUCUUGGUCAUAUACCUCGCCGUGUGCGACCCCGUGCACCGCCGCUACUUCCUACUACCGGUUCCGGGCGACCUGAAGGCACUGGUCCGCAGACCGGAUCUCCUAUACCUGGAGACUUUCCUUGCUCCAAGCGAUGAUGAGGCGGACCCUCUAUCAUUCAAAGUGAUGUGUUUGGCGCAAUGCAAGAUGAACCUGCUGCUUCUGGUCUUCUCUUCCGAUGGACAAUGGCGUGAUCGUACUUAUGAUCAAUGGGGUGCUUAGGCUAACGGUGCUCUCGAACAGAGUAUACCAGCUGUGUUGGAAAGUCAAUUCGUCCACGGAUGCUUCUGUUGGCAAUUGCAUUUCUUGGACAAGUUGCUUUUUCUUGACACGUGCACCAUGGAGUUCUCUACUAUCAAUUUCCCGCUUGACCAAUGAUGGAUUAGCCAGUCUGUCACUUUUGAGGCAGCGGAAGGAGCGCUUGGAAUGCUUACUGAUUGGUAUUAUCAGGACACCGAAGAUGGCCCAUACUUGCUCACCUAUUCAUUUAUGAGAAAUAACCAAUGGCACUGGGAGAAGGACAUCGCAUUGGGUGUAAAGCGUGCGGUUUUUAUUGGUGUAGCUGGGGUAUACUUGCUUCUAGAAGCGCAGUACACCAUGUCUUCACAAAACAAGCUAAAGUUUGGAUACUUCUCAAUGGACUUGAAAACAUUGCAGGUCGAGCUUUUUGCUCCGCUUAGCGAAGCCGUCUCGCCUGGUCGAUUAUAUGCUGAUUUCCCACUAUCGUUGUGUGCACAACUAUAUGAGCUGGUCACGUCGCUCAGCAUACUUUCUGCAUACUCUUAUUUAAUCUGGUCAUGA
This 1248-nucleotide ribosomal RNA is filed under the name Triticum aestivum (bread wheat). Its description in RNAcentral is "partial small subunit ribosomal RNA". The record is from RNAcentral. Lineage: Eukaryota; Viridiplantae; Streptophyta; Magnoliopsida; Poales; Poaceae.